This 494-nucleotide ribosomal RNA is filed under the name uncultured bacterium. Its description in RNAcentral is "partial 16S ribosomal RNA". It matches the Rfam family "Bacterial small subunit ribosomal RNA", at positions 28 to 507 of the family's 1533-position model. The record is from RNAcentral.
GACGAACGCUGGCGGCGUGCUUAACACAUGCAAGUCGAACGGAAAGGCCUGCUUUCCCUUGUGGAUUGCGGGUACUCGAGUGGCGAACGGGUGAGUAACACGUAAGUGAUCUGCCCCCAACUUGGGUAUAAGCCUGGGAAACUGGGUCUAAUUCCCGAUAGGACUGCAGGGUGGUGCCUGUGGUGGAAAACGAUUUUCUAGUGGUUGGGGAUGAGCUCGCGGCCUAUCAGCUUGUUGGUGGGGUAAUGGCCUACCAAGGCGGGGACGGGUAGCCGGCCUGAGAGGGUGGACGGCCACAUUGGGACUGAGAUACGGCCCAGACUCCUACGGGAGGCAGCAGUGGGGAAUAUUGCACAAUGGGCGGAAGCCUGAUGCAGCGACGCCGCGUGGGGGAUGACGGCCUUCGGGUUGCAAACUCCUUUCGACCGCGAGGAAGCCACCUGGUUGGAAGGGUGGUGACGGUAGUGGUAGAAGAAGCACCGGCUAACUACGUG